This is a long non-coding RNA of Acinonyx jubatus (cheetah), 13217 nucleotides long. RefSeq lists it as uncharacterized. The record is from RefSeq and is a predicted model, not a curated record. Lineage: Eukaryota; Metazoa; Chordata; Mammalia; Carnivora; Felidae. The transcript has 4 exons.
ACUGCCCACCCCUCACCCGAGAGGUGUGGAGCCGAUCGCACCCCCAGACCCUCGUUUCGUUUUUAUUUCCCAGCAAAGUGCGUGCCGUCGCCUGGCGGUCAUGGAGAAGGGGGACGCAAAGGCCUAGCCCUGGAUGGGAUUCGAAUUUGAAAAAAAAAAACAAAAAAGUUUUUCCUAUUCCUGUCGCAGGCACUUGCCUUUCUGGUCUCCCCGCCUCGCCCACGAGACCUCCAGGCAACUUUUAUUCUCUUCCUAAGUUGAAGCGUAAGCAGGGUUGAGGCCCUUCAGCUCACACGUAACCAACCCCUCUGUCCCAAGUGCUCAAAGUCGGGGCUUCGCGCGGUGCUCUUAGUUGUUUACUCCUCUGUCACGCUAAUACGUUAUGUCAGUCUAGGGCACGGAUGUUUCCAUGCAGGUGAUUUUGACAGCAAUCACCAUACCAAGCUAUUAUGAAGUGUGAUGUCAGUGCGUUCUGGAGGACGGAUAAUAUAUAAGCCAGUUCUUGACACGCUAUCUUACAAGGAAACAUCUGAGACCAUCAGGAAGAGGCAUUUUAAUUCACACACCAAAAAUAUUUUGUGUUUGGUUGACAUCUUUCAAAAUGCUGAAAGAGGUCCUUUCAAGCACGGAUCGCAGUGCCCAGUGGUCAAUACCCUUACUUUUAUCCAGUGUCUGCUUCAUUUAAACUUAAUCAACUCCAUCAACGAACUGGAACAGGGAAACGUCCCUGCGGCCAGAACAACUGGGUUAAGAUCUGGAGAAGACAUUGUUGAGUUUUCCCUAUGGGGGAAGGAGGGGGAGAAAGGAAGCUAAAUGAGUUUUACUGUGCGGCGGAAGGACUACUCCAGGCACCAGUGUGGCUUCUAAUGUGAGGAAAAACACGGAAUGACAAGUGUGGGAAAGAGCAAGCACUAAAUUACUGUCAGAAAAAUAAACGGAGUAGCACAGUGGUGCUCAGUGAUUUACGGGGGCAAUUAGUCACCACCCCACGGCGCUGCUGAGGACAGCACGGCAGCAGACGCGUCAGGCCUGAGAGGAAGAAGAGGCUUUGCACUGCUCUCCAGACAACUUUUCAAACAAGAGAGAAUAUUUGAGUACAUUAGGUUCCAUGUCUUCAUUCUGGGUGCCCACCCUUCACAUUAUCCAGCCAACCUAAUACAUAAACGUAUUUUUAACACAAUAUUAACCUGUUCUGUGUGUGUUAAAAAGACUCCCAACUUCAGCUUUUUUCUCUCCCACUGUCUAAAGUAGGUUUUCCCCAUUCCUUAAAUGAAACCAACAAAUAAAAAAACCUUUCCCUGCUUCCAAAUUGUCCUCCUGAUGUGUGCCUUCAGUCUGUCUCAUUUCUUCUUGCAUCUUGCUAUCAUGUUCUAUAUUUGCUUUGAGCCACUGGGUGCUAAGGAAUUUGGUCUCUAGCUCUUCUGGGGAAGUUUAGUGAGCUGGCACAAAGAGGUGAUGAAUGAGGCUGCAAAACUCAGGGUAAAUGAGAAAGAUAUAUAAACUUCCUGAUAUAUGUUACCAUGUUCUUUAACAUACUAUAUACGGUGCCUAUAUAUAUGCAUAUAGCAAAAUAAACCUGCUAAGAUAUGAUAUUUGGUGUACACUCUUUGGUAGGAAGUCUUCUUCAUCAGAAGAAAUCUAGAAUGGGGCACCUGGGUGGCUCCGUCGGUUGGGCGUCUGACUCUUGACUUCGGCUCAGGUCAUGAUCUCAUGGUUUGUGAGUUCGAGCCCUGCACCGGGCUCUGUGCUGACAGCAUGGAGCCUGCUUGGGAUUCUGUUUCCCCCUAUCUCUGCCUCUCUCUCUGUCUGUCUCUCUUAGAAGUAAAUAAAUAAACAUUUAAAAAGAAGAAGAAGAAGAAAUCUAGAAUGGAAGUCCAGGAAAGAACCCAAGAAAGACAAAGAUUUUAUUGACUAACUGCCACGUCUGUAUAGGGGCAGUAACAAGGUUGCCGAAGCGAACAAAUGAAGCAUCAUUAGGAGUUUAGUAUCCUGAUGUAGUGUUACCUAAGUGUUGUGCAGUGUUACCAUUUUAUAUUUCUGAAGCACUUUACAGUUUAUGAAGGAUAUUUGGAAUUCCUUUUCUCAUUUGAUCUUGCCUUGGCUUUAGUCAAGAACACGUGCUCAAUUAGAAAUGUGUUCAGUGAGUAUGUACACAUUUGGAGAAUGUGACCCAACACAUGCUUGCAUGUUGACCUGUAAGCUGGAGUACUAAAGAGGCAAAACCUUGUUGAUGAGCUGGUGCUGUAAUGAUGUGCCAUUCAACUGGGCACUUACUUUCUGAUAAAGAGGCUCACAAUUGGGAAAAAGUGCAGAUUUUACUGGCUCCUCUUUUCCACAUUAUCAAUUGUGUUUUUUGUGUUUUUUUUUUUGUUACGACACAAUGUACCUUUAAAAACAAUUAAAAAAUAAUAUAGAGCCCUGGAAUUUGAUGUAGAAUUGGGUAUUUGUGACAAGAGCACUGGUUUUCCUGUAAUAAGGAAAGCAAACCCAACCAGGAAAAGAGGCAGAUGUGUUUCUUUGCAACAUUGCAGGCAUAUGAAAUUAUACAGAUCUCACUGAAAACUAGGAAUGAUACAACUUGAAAAUUUAACCAAAAUUAUUUUUUAUCAGUGAACAAAGUCCAUUGUAAAGCACUGUAUGUAUUUUUUCAGAUCUCUUUCUUUUCCUGAAGUCACAUUUGUAGUUUCUGGUAGAGGGACAUAAUUGGGGAAAAUUAAAUACAUAAAAAGAUGAAAUUUAAAAGUAUAAAAUUCUGCCUUUCUGAUAAAUUUUAUGUUCCCUGUUUCCUUGAUUUAAAGAGGACGUUCUAAUAAUACCCUUACAGGGGACACAUUUUUAUAUACAUGUUAUUUUUGUUUAGAAAUUGUGAGCUAGUGAAGAGUGAAAAUGACCUUGGCUAUUGUACUUACUUAUUGAUAGAAAUAAUAGCCUUUUUAUAUCUGAAUUCAAAUGUCUUCUCUACUAAUCAUGCAACUUCCAUACAUUUCAAAGAGAUUUGGGUUGCAUGAAAACAGGAGGCUGGAGCUUCCUACGUGCCCCCGUGUUUGUGUUCAUACAGAAUAUUUAUGCAAUAUUCCAACUUGGCUAUAAUCUAUAAUUCCUGGCUAUUUCAGUUGCCACUAUAAUUUUUAGAUUAAUGGUUAUAAUUUUGGUAGGGAAUACAUGAAAAGUUAUAUGUUCAUGCUUGAAAGGAGGAUCAUUAAAUAUUCAUUAUUACCACUCAAAUUAGUUGUCAUGCUCUAUAAAACAGUUACCCGUUAUCAUUUCACUAGUUUAGAUUCUGCAGUAAGUGAACAGCAAUAUAUGGCUCAUAUCAGUAGAGGAAUUUUUGUUGGGGAACAGAGAGAGAAAUGAUUUUAAAACACAUUUGACAUAUUUAUGUUGACAAAUUAUAUAAAGAAUUACUGCUUUGUCAAUAAAUAUGUUUGUAUGUUAGAAUAGGAUUGUGGCUGGAUUUACUUCUAGCUGUUUAAUUACUCUAUGAUUGUGAAAAAAUAGUGCUGCUUCAAAUGGUUAUAAGGGGAAAAAAUUAGAAUACAAAGGUUGGGAUAUUUUAGUAUUUUGCAGAUGCUUAAACUUGCCAUAAAAAAGCACUUUUCAUUUUUGUAAGCAGGCAUUGAAAUCUUGCUUUUUCAGCAAAGCUAGAUUGUAUAGUUUGUUACUUUUCUCUAUCUGGUAACAAAUCUAUUCUUAAAAAAAGAAAAAAGUAAAACAAGAGAUUGAUUUUUAUAAAUGUGGUGGGGGAGCAUAUGUGGAGAUGUCUCCUUAGCCUGUUUUAGAAGCAUGUAAAGUGAAAAUAAAAAUAAAUACAUUUUAGUGUAAAAAUAUUUUGCUUUUUGUUUCCACAUACCUUGAUAUGCCUAUUCAGUUAUGCGAAGACAUUGGGGAUAGCCAGAUGCUUUUUUUUUUAUCACAUAUAGGGAUCAUUCCAUACUCCUCAGUAAUUUAAAUUGUUUUUUUUUUUCCAUAGAACACCCCCCAUAAAUUUGAUUCUGAUUGCAUGUAACUUUAGAACGUUCUGUCUUAAAGAGUCAAAUUGUAGCUGAUGAACACAUUUUGCAUUUUUCCACAUUGCAUCUGGACUCUUCAUAAUGAUGGUUUAUUUUAUUUUUUUUUCUGCACAGAGGAGAGAAAAAAAUAUAUAGGUCUAUGAAUCAAUCUAGAUAAUGGGGAAGGCUGAAUGUAAUAAAUAAUACAGUAACAACCCUAAACUAAUGAGCUGUUGCUAAGGUACAUUUCAUAGGCUCAUCCUCUAUAUAAAAAGUCACUAAUAACCCCUUGGUGUAAUCAGAUGAUAAAGCUUUGCCAUAAGGCAACACCUGUGCAAUUAGAACUGCAGAUUCUUUUGCACGUUUCAUUAAUUUCAGGAUUUUGUAAAGGCACAAUGACUACACUAAUAAUCUAGUCUACUUGACUCCAUGUCUACCGGAAACAAAGUGUCUAAUUAGAUAAAGGUAAUUAAUUAGAGAUAAAUGGAGCUAAUCAGGCUCAGUUAACACUAAUUCUCUGAAUUAAGACAUUUUGGGACACCUACUAUCCCGCUGAUUUUGAUAUUUUGCAUUAAAAAUAGGUUUUAGAGGAGUCAGAAAAUACUGGCAUUUGAGAAUUGAGCGGUCUUUUGAUGGCAUAUUUAGGCAUCUGAAGCUAAAGGAGAGCUUUCUUUCAUAUUGUGCUAUUUCACCACCUUUCUCUUGCAGCUUAAAGAAUUCACUUUGUAGUUAUUCCAAUCCGUGCUAGUCUCCAUAUAAAUUUUAAUAGCUUUUGCUAUCAUUUUUAUUAUCUGUCUAACCCACCAAUGGAAGAAAAUCACAAGUUGUUCUCUCUUAAAUAAAGAAUUAACAUGUUACAUUAAGGAAAUGUCAAGACUCAUCAGCCUAUAUCCUAAAAUUCUGGUCCUUUAAAGAGAACAAACACCUAUAAUUCUGAUUCUUUUAAAGAGAACAAACCUCUGCUUUGCAGUGUUGGACUGAAAAUUUAGUGGUGUGGGGGAAAGCUUUGAAGUCAGAAGACCUGAAUUCAAAUUUCCACUCUUUCUUAGUAAAUGAGUGAUCUUAGAAAAAUGCUUAACUUCUCUGAGUUCCUUUGAUUAUGAAAUGGAAAUGAUAGUGAUGCUAACUUUACAGGGUGGUUGUGAACAUUGAGUGAGGCAACUCUGUAAAUAUUGGUUAUUAUUACCUGUUCGUAAUUGGGAUUGAACACAUAACCUAGCACCAUAUCUUGCUUGAACUACAAGAUUAAGUAUCAAAAAUGUUCCAUUUUUAUCUCAACCCCAUGAUAAUUUUGGCGCUACAUUUAUAUAUGUAGCAAGGGAGAGACUAAGAAUUUUCUCCCAAAUAGUCAAAUCAGAAAAAAAAAUCCUGCAAAUUCUUCACUUGGAGAAUGUGAAUUUAUCUGCCUUGGUUUUCUACACUGCUAUAAUUAGCCCUCUUGGCAAGUUGUUCCACAGUCCAUAAGGAAUGGAUCGUUUGCCCCAGAAUUGAAAUCUUGGGAAGUAGCUUAAUAUGAAGUAGACAUUGAAAUCUUUCUUUUAUAAUUUCUGUAGGAUAUACCUCUUCCUCUUUCUGUUCUCUGUCCUAACUUAUCUGGACUACACCUGGAUUAUCUAAUGAUCUCUCAACUAAUAUCCUUGUUUUUAUUUCUUUUCUCCUGUAAUUCAGUGUCCCCAACUUAACCUUCCUCACCCAACACUUUCUUCAUUCUCUGUCCUGUCAAGAACAUAAGACUUGUUAAAUGAAGACUAUCAAAUAGGCAAUGAGAGCAUCUGUGUCUGGUCCACACUAUUUAUCCAGCCUAUCUCCUGCCCUCCCCUGCCAGUGCCUUUUAUUCCAGGCAAGCCCGCCUUACUGUUCUUCACCACACUCAUCUCUCCUUUAAUGCUCUCACCCUCCCCCAAUAUGACAGCCACUCUCGUCUUCUUUCAAAACUUAUUUUAAAUCCUGUACUUCCCCUGAGGUCUGCCUUGACAACUCUGGCCUACCAAGAGCCUUCUCAUCUCUGAAGGCCCACACCAGCUCUUGGUGGCACCACACUGAUGAGAUGCCUGAGGUCAGGAACCAUAGCCUAGUCUUCCUGUGUGCAAGGCAAACCUUGCUCACCAUCCUCUUCCCCCAGACCUUGGCCUUCACACUCAUCUGGGGCACCCACAACUAUAUGACACGUGUGUAACUAAUCUGUGAGGUGGGGCUUGGUCUGGUCCUUGGCAGUCAGGUCUAAUGACUUCUGUAGCAACCCUGGGCCUCUUUACCCACUGGGGUUGGAUUCAACCCUGGGUUGAGACUUCAUGUUUAGAGACAAUAUUACCUUGAUGAGACUGCUGUAUUUCCUGAGGCUUUGUUUCUGACUUGCAGGGUAUUAGGCUUUUAUGACAUGCAAUGAGGGAAUGUCAGGAAGUGACCGUUAGUCUUUCGUGACAGUUAGAAUGUUUAGCAAGCAAUGAUAUACGAUUCGGCAAACAAUUCAGAAAGGUCUGAGCAACAUGGGCUGAAUUACCCUUCAUUAGAGACCUUUAAUGAAGUGUUUUUGGUGAAUGCUGUCUAUGGGAGGUUUUCCUGGAGAGUCCCUCCCAGAGAAAUUGAAACUUGUAUGCAUUAGAUGUCCAGGUUGACUGAUUGCGAUUGUUGCAAAAGUGUCCUCAGUUUCUUCCUUUUAUAUAUGUUUCCUUCCUUGUCUCUACGCCCUUUACUAGCACCCUCCCAACACUGACUCUGAGUUUGGCUGUGUGAUUUGCUUUGCCAUUGAGAUAGUAGCAAACAUAUGAUGGAGACUUAAGAAGAACUUGGGUAUCAGAGCUUGCUCUCUGGCUGCUUUUGGAACCUUGAGCAGCCCUGUGGAUGAGCCCAGGCUAGCUUCCUUGAUUGUGACAGACAUGUGGUCCAGUAUCCUCCUUUCCCCAGACAAUAGUCAGCUAACCCCAGAAGUCAAGUGGCCUAACUGACCAGCAGCUAAUGACAGAAGCACAUGUGGGUCCAGGUGAGAACAGUAGAGUGAUACACUAAUUUAGAAUUGAACUAAAUAGUUACUGAAUUAUACCUUACAUUUUGGGGCUAUUCAAUAUCCAGCAAUAGAUUACCAAUACGUUGGUGUAGGCUAUCUAUUUCACUGCUUAAACUUAGAAGAAAUCCAGAAGACAUCAAAUGUUUGGUCUCUAAUCUUGGAUGAUAUUUAAGUGGAAAAGUGAUGGUACCUUCGAGAGAAAUAAAUAAGGAAGUCUGUUCAGCCUUGGGAAAUAAAACCAGUUACGUUUUUGUAAUUUUGUGUUGGUACAGAUCAAAGUGUGAGAACUUCUAGAGAGGUGAUAGGACGGAGUUGAAGAUCUAUAUAUAGGGGGUAGCUGAAGUUGUGGAAUAGGAUGAGAAUGCAGAUAAAGACUGGUGACAAAACUCAGUGGGAUUCCCUCUUUUCAUGGCCUUUUAGAAAAAGAGGCAAGGGACAGAAGAAGGGACAGGAGGGCAGGGGGCAGAGGAUCAUGUAGGAGAAGCUCAGACUGGGGAAAACUGCAAGAAGAAUCCAGUGGUCAGCAGAGCUGACUGCUAGAAAAGGCAAGCAUGACAGUAAUAAUGACUAAUAAUUGAAGUGCAAUUUGUAGUUUACAAAGUCCACAUAACAGCUUAUUUCAAUCUAGCAUUAUAGAUAGAGUCAGGGUUAUUAUUGUGGUCAUUUUGUACAUGACAAAAUGGGCACAGAGCCAGCAAGUACUUUAUAAAUAUUACCCAUUGGAUAAGAUGGCAAAUUCCAAAUGUCUUAAAAUGGGUUCUAUUUUUACUUACAGGAGACCACUAGAAGUGUGAUUGAAUCUGGCAAGAGGAAAGUCAGCAGCAGCCUUUAAAGAGGCAGUUUCAGGAGAGCUAGGGGUAGGGAGGGUGGUAGUUGGGUAGGAGCAAGACUACAUGGAGAUAAUAUAAAGGACGUAGGAGGUAAGGAACAGAACACUGUUGAGUGGCAGGAGAAUGACUUGGUAAGACCUGGAGGGGACACCAGUUUUGAAAGGAGGGUAAGGGUGACCAAAGCAAGUUUGUAGAUAGGAGGGAGAGGGAGAAGUGGAACAUGAAAGCAAGAGAGAAAAUAAAAGGAGAAUAAAAAUGAAAUAAAAAAUAAAGAGAAAAUAAAUAUAUGAGAAAAAAAAUUGAAAAGCAAUUCCUGAAGGUAUAGAUGCCAGUAUCUAGAGCACAGGUGAAGAAAGGGCUUAGACUUGAGAUGGAUAGAGAGGCAGGUGGGAAGGGAAAAAGGAGAGGAAUGACAGCAAGAGAUUUUGAGCUAGAGAGGAGGGAAAGUAAGUUAGUUCACACCAGAAUCUUCAAAUUCCGUGACCAUUUUCACUCUAAGACGACCAGUUUGCUAUCUCAGGAAAUGCCUGGCAUGGAUCUACCUCUAUAAUGACACAAUUCGAAAGAUUCCUGGAACUGCCUUCAUAAAGCAUGUUGUCCUUCCUGGGCAGAGGUAUUUAAUUUUGUGAUGGGAAAAAACAUUCUUGGGAUAAGGACCCUGUGUGACUAUUUUGUGUGUGUGUGUGCACACACACACAUUCACAUGCACACACACAACACACACACACACACACACACACACACACACACUAGGCAAGAAGAAGUACUCUGGGCAAGAGAUUAGAAGCCUGGGACCUGGGAGAUUGGCUCCAGGGAGCAAGGGGCACCAAAAUCAAAGUAGUUAUUCACUGCUUUGCCUGGAAUGCAGGGUUGUCCUGAGAGGUGGAGCAGAUGCCCUCUUGCAUGGAGGAGAUCCUGAUUAAAAAGUAGGUCCUUCUUACCUAGUUCUGGAAAUCUACCAUCAGGACUUCGUUCCAGUGACUCAAGGCUUCUGCUUACUGCUUCAAGACAGGUAUUUCUGGGAGGGGAAAUCCACUAAAGCUCAAGGUUUAUUAGAAUUUUCCUGAGAGCAAGUUUCAUUAGAUGAUGAAGAUGAGGACUGAUGGGGAAGAACUUGCCUCUGGAUGCAAACAGAAUAUAGAAAGAGAACAGAAAUCACCAAGUCUUCUACAUUCCUCACAUCCUACUGCUCAUACAAAAACUGCAUGCUCCUCAGUUUCUCUUAUCUUAAUCCCCACCUCCAGCAUGAUCAACUACUCUCUCAAGGUGCGUGGUACCUUGGUACCUUGGUACCUUGGUGCUUAAUAAAUAUGUGAAUGAAUGAAUGAAUGAAUGAAUGAAUGAAUGAACAGCUCCUAACUGGCCUCUCCUUCCAAGUUUGGUCUCCUGCAACCCAUUCAUCAGCACGCUGCCUUCCUAAUGAUCCUUCUAAAGCCCUAUUUGAUCUAUUUAAAGUCCUUCAUGGCACCUCAUUACAGGAUCAAUUUGGAACUGCUUAGCUUGGAGUACGAGGCUCUUCAUGAUCCAGUUCCUACAGCCCCUUCCCAAUCUGGCAUCUCAGAAACCCCAUGUGUGCAGGAACCAUUGAUAAACACCUCCAGACUUGAUGCAACUGUAUUGAGCUACUUCUAGGUCCAUGAUCACCUGAGAUAUUUCACUGUACUUUGCCUGGGUUAUUUUUUCUUGGAAUACUUUCUACCCCAUCCCAUGUCCAACUGGUAAAUAUCUACCUGUAUUUUCAGGCUAAAUAGUUCCUGUUCAAUGAAACGUCCAUGAGCUCCUAAGUUGAGGUAUCAAUCUCCUAUACUUGCCCUUUUUGAAUCUAGCUCUGUUACAGCACCUGUUACAACUGAAUAGCAUUUACUUAUGGACAGGAGUGUCUCCCCACCAGGUGAUCAUGUCUCUGGAAAGCAAGACCACUUACAUCUUAUUUGUCAUUGUAUCUUCAAACCAGACAUCUAUUAUUCUCUUAAAUGUUUCAUUGAGAAUUUACGUUGAGACUGCUUAAGGCCAAGUUUCCUUUCUUCUCCCUUUUCCAAUAAUUGUCCUGAUAUAGCAUUAUCUUAAUUACUUUCUUUGUAAAACAAGAGCAUAACUGUGGGUCUUUUUCAAGAUUGCCUAGUAAACAUCUGGCCCCAGAGUGAAAGCCCACAGGGGGCCCUUCAGUUCCACUUCUGGAAGUGCCCUUCAACCCCAUAUCUAGUGCCUCAGAGAGUACAGCAGGCACCUGCAUCCUCCCCGCUACCGGGACUGUUGGCCAGGAGGUAGCUUUUGUUUCUCUCAUGAGUGUGUUCUGAUUUUUAUCUGGAUCUGGCUUUGGAGGGGCAGGCAGGUGAGGUCCACUGGAAAGAUACACAGUAGCUAUGAGGAUCCCACCCACAACAUAAUUUCUGCUUCCCCUUGUCUUGGAGGCUUCUUUUGGCUGUUUUCCUGAGAUACUUCCAGGUGAGCUUACUUGUGGUGUAAAUUUGGUCUAUUAUCUGGUCCACAAUCCAGUGACUUUACAGACACAACUUUUUUCUAAAGCCGCCCAGCAAGGUGUCCCCAGAAUAGAAACUACCCUUAGAGACAGCGGUAAGUUUUUCAUUCUCCUCUAGGUUUCCUGAGAAGCCAGUAGUCUAGCUUUGGUGUAACCUACAUAUUCCUUUGCCUCUUUAGGAAGCAGUACUCACUCUCCACAUUAUUCAUAGAGGUAGAAUCAGCCUUUCAAAUGGAAAAUUGAAGUAGAACAAAUAACAGGGGGAGUGGAUGAAUGUUGGCAAAACCAUUGCCUUCAGCCUUGGAAGAUCACAUUCUGAAUUCUGUGCCACCAGAUAGCUUAAUCCUUCUUAUACCUGUGAGUGAAGUUACUGAAGGGGACAGGUUCAUGGCUACCUAAUCAAACUGUGUGAUAGGAGCCAAAGUCACUGCUUCCUGGAUGAUUUCUACAGAACCCAGUUCUUUCAUCCUAGUCUAGUACAGACCUCUACUCCAAUGAACAGCAUUGGUGUGGACUGACAUCAAGGGUGAAGUUAUAAAGGCCAGAAAAUGCCUGAAUCUUGAAAGCUGCCGAGGCAACUGAGUCAAGGCUCCAAACAGUGGAUUUGGACUCAUGUGACCUUUUGAUUUUAAUUUUUUUUGUCAUGUCCUGUCUAUUAUUGUAGAGGACUUAUGAUUUAGUUGUCUCCUUUAAUUUAGUGAAUUUUCCUAUCAAGCUAUUAGUUAUUUAACAAACCAAAAAAUGGCAGGAACAAAGGACUGAUUUGAAAUAUUUCUUCCCAGGAAAAAUAUAUUCUUUUUCUAGCACACUGAAAGAGUUUGCAUAAAUGCCCUUCUUAUAGGCCAGCUGAGCAAGGGAGAGCAUUGUUGUGAGAGAAAUUUAACUGCGUUGCCGUUGCCAAAUAUUUAAUACUUUAAAGAGGAAGUUCUAAAAUUUAAUAGUUGAUUUUAUUAUUACUCUUUGGAUAUAAUUAACUAGGGAUGCACUUUAAACUGCUUUAUUCUGGCUAUUGAAAUGGAUUUUAUGGUUUACACUGGGGAAAAAAAAUUCUGUCAGACCAUGGGCCUCUCCCUUGGUGCACAUUAUUAGAGUCUUUUUAGAGACAAGCAAGCAAUUUUGCUGUCAUUGGUCUUGUUCAAAUAGAGUAUGUUUAUCUAUGCAAUACUCUUGGGAAAGGGUGUCAGAAAAGGAUCACCAGUUAGCAGCUGACAUAGCUCCUGCACACACGUCGAAAAAGCUCCUCAAAUAGCAAAUGAACACAUAUAUUUCAUUUUUUAUGUGGCUGAUAAAAUGUUAUAUCAUUAAGUCAAAAGAACAUAUUUGUUCCAUCCAACUUGAGUUUAGAACUAGCUCUCACUUCUAAUACAAAUGAGGGCCCUGCGGCUCCACAGAGCGUGCUCUGCAGAAACCAAACAGCCGUUCAGGACUUGAGGGAAAGCAGGUCUCUACACAUUGAAUAUCAACUCUUUAAUGGGCUGUUGGCAUAUUCUUGAUCUGUUCCCAGAUAUUUAAAUGCCAAGUGGGCUUCAGAGAAAUCUAAGUCUUUCUGAAUGUUUAGUUUAACCUGUGUAUUAUUUUAUCUCAGAUACCAAUUUCUCAUCUCUUUGCUCUACCAAAUCAAAGCAUCCAUUUACUCAUUUAUUCCAUAAAUAAAUACUGAACAAUAAACAAUAAAUAUGCAGCAAGUACUAACCUGGUCUUUUGCCAAACUGGGCUUUUGCAAAAAAAAAAAAAAAUGUACAAAACAAAUAAAGUGCUUGCCUUCAAGGAACUUACAGCCUGGUGAGGAUGAUAAAUGAACAGGCAGAAAAUCUAAUCACAAAUCAGAAAUGCUAUGAAGAGGGGCGCCUGGCUGGCUCAGUGGAUAGAGCACAUGACUCUUGAUCUCUGGGUCGUGAGUUGGAGCUCCAUGCUGGGCGUAGAGAUCACUUAAGGAAAUUAAAACAAAAAAAGUGCUAUGAAUAAAGAGAUUUAGUGCUGAAGUGAGAGCACUGAGGCCUCUGUUUUCUCAUGUGUCAACUGUAAAUAGUGAGACCUACUUUACAGAAUUUAGGGAUUAAAUGAAACAAAACAAUGUAGAUAACAUUUCUUAAUGCAGUGUUCAGUAUAAGGCAAGAGAUCAAAUAGUCGAAUACAUAGAUAAGAUUCAUGGUGUAUGUGCUGGAAAGAUACACAGCUGCAGGGCUGAAAUUCAGCCUUCACAUUUUGAAGUGAUGUCACAGAGAAUAGGGACUAGUCAUUCUUGCCAUUUAUUUGUGAGCAUAAGCAUGCCAGUUUACUAGUUAGUUUCUCCUAAAGUAUUCACCUGAUGUUUUGCUUAUAAAUUCUUCCAUCUCCUUUGAAUGGCAUAGCUGUCCUUGGGGCCUUUUCAAGGAACCUCUCACAGUGGAAACUCUCCUUCCCACUUGAAUGGUUUUGAAAGUUUGGAUUCUACUGUAAAGCAUCUGGGUCCUAGGGUUCUUUUUCAUCUCUUGAGACCUAGGGAAAUCCUGGAUCUGGGACAUCCCACUUACUAGAGAUGUAAUAAACACUUGCUAUGUGCCCAAAUUUAAUUUAAUCCUUAAACGGUCUUGUGAGGUGGGUGUUGUCAACUUGCAUUUUUUAAGUGUGAAGAAACAGAAACUCACGGAGGUUAAGUAGCUCACCCAGGGUUAUACAAUUAAAAAGAGACCUUGAAUUUGUACUUAUCUCAGGGCACUUGGGUGGCUCAGUCAGUUAGGCAUCCAACUUCGGCUCAGGUCAUGAUCUGUGGUUCAUGGGUUCUAGCCCUGUGUUGGGCCGUGUGCUGACAGCUGGAGCCUAGAGCCUGCUUCAGGUAAUGUGUCUCUGUCUCUCUCUGCCCCUCUCCCGCUCAUGCUCUGACACACACACACACACACACACACACACACACACACACACACUCUCUCUCUCUC